CAAGUAACUUAAUGGUUAAUCAUCUACCUAUCAGUAGGUUGCUCAGAUGCUUUAAUUCCCCCUUAAGGGUUAAGAAAGUUAACCACAUGAGGGAAGACACCAUGUCCCUUGUGUCAAGCCCAGGACAUGUGAUAGAACAAAGGGUGUG
Long non-coding RNA from Esox lucius (northern pike), 148 nucleotides. RefSeq lists it as uncharacterized. The transcript has 3 exons. Lineage: Eukaryota; Metazoa; Chordata; Actinopteri; Esociformes; Esocidae. The record is from RefSeq and is a predicted model, not a curated record.